GACUCCCGCGAGAGCCCCACUGCCGCGGGCCUCGGCGCCGGCGGCCUCUCUCGCUCCGUCGGGCCCUGGCCCCCCUGGAGGGAGCCGUGCGGGUGCGGCCCCCCGUCCCUGCCCAGGCUCGGGGGCUGAGCAAAGGCGCCCGGGCAGAGAAGCGCCGCGAGGCAGGCGGCGGCUGGGCCGGGCUCGCCGGGGGGGGGUGACACGGAGCCGCCUGCCGCGAGCUGCCGGGGCCGGUCCUGCCGGGGGAGCGAACAGCGGGCCCCGGCUGACGGGUCUCAGCGGGAGCCGGGUCAGCCCCUACCCGCAAGCCGACGGAGGCGUCCCCGGGGCCCCUGAGAGAGGAACACGUUGAUCUGGGCUAGAAGCGGAAGAUGCAGGAGCAGGUUAAAGGGACACAGGGGUACACCAGGCAGGUAUGGGACACAUCCCACACAUUUCCCAAGAGACAUGCUGGAUCCGAGAUGGCAAUCUAACGGCUGUUAGAGAUGGAGAAUUGGACACAUGAAGUCAUCAGGCAGAAGAACGCCACUACAGGAGCACCACAGAGCACCCUGUGUUAGGGUUACAACUGCCCCAGCUGAGAGCGCCACAAUGGCUCAGCCAUAGCAGAGACAAUCCUGUAACUCCGGUGUCCUCAGAACGCCACUUGCUCCUGCUGCCAAGUGGGGGCCAGAAAGUAUCAGCCUCUGUCGUGUGACCCCCACCCAACUGCUAGGCUCAUGGAUGGCAGUGAGGUCAAACCUGGGGAUCCAUCAUGAGGAGAAGCUCCUAGGGUUGGAGAGUGGAGUUGGCUGAGGGGAAAUGGAGAGAGAAGCCACCUGGUGCCAGCUCCAGCACUGCUAGGCCUCAGUGCUGAGGUAGCUGUGUGUGUAUCACCUCCCUCAAGCCAGUGGGGUGAGGCUCUGUGCCUUGCGGCAACUGGCAACACCACAAACAUUGGGCUCCAUACAGAAGCGUCUCUGUAACAGAGUUAGAAGCCCACGAAGGCUUUGCCUGCAUUUUGUUGAGUUACAACAUCCUUCCCCUACCGAUGGUUGGGUCUGCAGAGUGUGUCGGUGGCUAUGGCUUGUGAGAGAGAAAGGUGAAAAUGCCCUGAGCUUGCUGUCACUUACAAGAAGAUUAAACCCAUUGCUUCUUGUCCUAUCUUCAGUGGACAUGGAGAACAAUUGAUCGCCAUCCUCUUUACAAGAGCCCUUAACAUAUAUAAGGGCUUGGCUACACUUGCGAGUUACAGAGCAAUAAAGGAGCCCCAGGCGAACUAGCUCACUACCCAUCCAUGCUGGCAAGGUACAUAGAGCGCUCUGAGUCCAUGGCUACAGCACUGCUGGUACUCCACCUCAGCGAGUGGAAUAACGUUUGUUGCGCCCCCGCUGGAGCACCGCGGUGCCAGUGUGGACGACCUGGUCCUAUAGUGCGCUCUGAUCGGCCUCCAGAGGUGUCCCACAAUGACUCUUCUGGCCACUCUGGUCAUCACUUUGAACUCUACUGCCCUGCCCUCAGGUGACCAACCAUCAGACCUGCCCUUUAAAUU
Dermochelys coriacea (leatherback sea turtle) is the source of this 1531-nucleotide long non-coding RNA. RefSeq lists it as uncharacterized. NCBI's taxonomy places the organism in Eukaryota, Metazoa, Chordata, Testudines, Dermochelyidae. The transcript is spliced from 5 exons. The record is from RefSeq and is a predicted model, not a curated record.